GGGCCCGCACAAGCGGCGGAGCAUGCGGAUUAAUUCGAUGCAACGCGAAGAACCUUACCUGGGUUUGACAUAUGCCGGAAGCAGCCAGAGAUGGUUGUGCCUUUUUGGUCGGUUUACAGGUGGUGCAUGGCUGUCGUCAGCUCGUGUCGUGAGAUGUUGGGUUAAGUCCCGCAACGAGCGCAACCCUCGUCCUAUGUUGCCAGCACGUUAUGGUGGGAACUCAUGGGAGACUGCCGGGGUCAACUCGGAGGAAGGUGGGGAUGAGGUCAAGUCAUCAUGCCCCUUAUGUCCAGGGCUUCACGCAUGCUACAAUGGCUGGUACAAAGGGUUGCGAUGCCGUGAGGCGGAGCGAAUCCCGUAAAGCCAGUCUCAGUUCGGAUUGGGGUCUGCAACUCGACCCCAUGAAGUCGGAGUCGCUAGUAAUCGCAGAUCAGCAUUGCUGCGGUGAAUACGUUCCCGGGCCUU
Molecule: ribosomal RNA, 465 nt
Filed under: uncultured bacterium
Lineage: Bacteria
Description: bacterial SSU rRNA
Rfam family: Bacterial small subunit ribosomal RNA
Source: RNAcentral